Oncorhynchus tshawytscha (Chinook salmon) is the source of this 3207-nucleotide long non-coding RNA. The record is from Ensembl. Lineage: Eukaryota; Metazoa; Chordata; Actinopteri; Salmoniformes; Salmonidae.
UUUUUAAUAUUUUAUGUACAUCAAUAAAAGUAAAAUAUAUUUUUGGGACCCAGAAAACUCCAGUUGGGGAACCCUGCACCAGAGGUAAGGGAUUGCCCAGUUCCCCCAGAACGUCACUCGCUCUGAAACCUUGAGGUAGUUGUUUCCCUUGCUCUUUGAGCGAUAGGUAACGAUGCUUCAUGGGUGACUGUUGUCAAUGUAUUCAGAGGGUCCCUGGUUUGAGCCCAGAUUGGGGCAAAGAGCGGGACGGAAGCAAUACUGUUACAUUGAAGCUGUUGUCCCGGAUCAUUCAGUUGGGCUCUGCCCAGCAGCUGGGGUUGCUACGGAGAAGGAAGAGGUCAAAGGGGGGGUGAGUGUAACCGGUGUGAAAUGGCUAGCUAAUUAGCGGUGCACACUAGUAGUGUUUCAAUCGGUGAUGUCACGCGCUCAGAGUAAUUGUUUCCCUUGCUCUAUACUGACUGCGGCUUUUAUGGAGCGAUAGGUAAUGAUGCUUUGUGGGAGGCAUGUUAUUGAUGUGUUCAGAGGGUCCUUGAUUCGAGCCCAGGUUUGGGCAAGGAGAGGGACGGAAGCAAGACUGUUACACACAACCAGAAGAGAGACUGUGAAAUGACAACACACUAGGACGCCAGGGGUACAGUGCUCUGAUAAUGAGAAAUUCCUCGGCACCUGGAAUUUUUCUUUUGCGAAUCUGGUCGUUGCCCCCAACCUCCUCCGUUAAACACACUUGACUUUCUAAAUGUAAUCCUUUACAGGUACUAAUGUAAUCCUUUACAGGUACUAAUGUAAUCCUUUACAGGUACUAACGUAAACUCACUCACUUUUGGACAUCGCCUUGGUUCGUACAAUUGACCUCAUUUUAGCACCCCAAAAACGUAAUACUUCCAGAUCAACUGUAAUGUCAUUACCAAUGUAAAGCACAAUUUCUCCCCUUUCCAACACAAUUAAUGACAUGACCUCUAAGAUGCCCGUUUCUGCAUUAUUCAAGAAGGCAAUGAGCUCCGUCGGGUCUUUUUUUUAAAUGGCGGGUGGGGAAGUGAAACUAAUGCGUGGUAGUGAGAAGGAGAGGAGAUGUGUGGGGAAAUUGCACUCGAUCUGUCCAACUUAUCACCUUACCGCCUCUAAAAUGUAAAUAAAACAUGAUAAAGAGUUUACAUAAUGUGUCAUUACAAACCUAUUUGAAGGUUUGUGUCGAAUUUGACUCAGGUUUUUAGGGCGGUGCUAAAGUGAUCUUCAGAAGUAAACAGCGGCUCUGAGAGUCAUGAUCGCUUACAGUGAUGACGCAAAAAAUGACUAGGUAUCCCCCCUUACCCCCGUCACUGUCCAUCUCUUGUUUUUAAACGAUGAGAGAAGUGCUACACCUGGUGGAGAGAGAUUGUAAGACAGAACUAGUUGCUAUUUGCGUGCUGUACGUUACGGCAUAACACGUCACGAUGUAACGAAGGGUCAGUUUCUUUCAACUUUUCUCCAAUACUAUAGAGCCAUUACCAUGUCGACCAACGCUUGAAUAGAAACGUAGUUCACACCCCAGAUUUUGAAGUCAACACAGUCGCUACAGUCCCAUUCGUUUUCUUUGCAGCCUCGUUUGAAUGUCUCGGUUGCGCACAUUUGUACGGAAUGGGGUGAGUUUACGUUAGUUACCUGUCCAAAAUGGCCAUCAGUGACUUCACUUACAUUUUACAUGUACGUUUUAGUCAUUUAGCAGAUGCACUUAUCCAGAGCGACUUAGUUGGUGCAUUCAUCUUAAAGGGAUACUUCAGGAUUUUGGCAAUGAAGCCUUUUAUCUACUUCCCCAGAGUCAGAUGAACUCAUGAAUACCAUUUGUGAAGUAGAUAAUUGGCUUCCUUGACAAACUUCCUUCCCGAUGUAUCCCUUUAGCCCUUUCCUGCAGUCAAAUGACCAAAUCACCCACUAGUGGCCUCAUGGGCGAAACGUUAUUUAUACUUGUCAUAUCUGUCCCUUUGUUAUAUUUCAGUCAUCUGUGAUAUAUAAAGUGUAAUAUCGGGAUGCAAACUCAAAAUUUAAUAUAUUUCAACUCUAUUUCUGACAUGGUACAGGUGUUCUAAGCCCAUAACCAUGUGAGUGAGUAGAUUCAAAGUAGAUUUGUUGAAGAGUACCAAGAACCACUCUGUGACACUGAUUUAGCCCACUGCAGUAAAUUAAGAUAGCUAGGUGAGACAAUGUCUUUGCUGGUAACGUAACUGAUUACAGUCCCAAAUUUUUUUAAUAAUCAGAUGACAUGUAACUCCCCAACCCUAAACGCACACACACACACGCACACACACUUCAAAACCUUUUAACCCCUUGAGCCCUGGCCUUUAACCUAUAAAAUGAAUCAGUAUCAGUAUGUGGCAGUACAAGGAUUCAUCCCACAGUGGUGGCUGACCGAGUAUCGCUAUACUGGGUCAUGCCCAUUAGGGACCAAACGGACUGAAACGGUGCCUUUUUAUUUUCAGUUUCCCGCUGAGUGCCCUAUUAAACAAGACACUGAUGUUUGAGAUGUAGUUUAGAAAUGCAAAUAAAGAAAAAAUGAGAGAGAAGUAAUUGACUGGAAUCUUAAUGUCCUUCUCUUCCUGUCUCUGAGUAUUUAAGCUCCCUGACUACUUCCACCCCCCCCCCCCCACACACACACACAUCUGAGAGGGCAUGAAGUUCAUGAGGAUGGCUGGUGGGUGGUCUGUAGGGGGUUGUCAAACACCUUAAACAGCUUCUUCCUGCAAUAUAGAGCCAUAAUCAUUAUGCUUCAUUCUAUGACAAACAUAUGUUUAUUUUCUGCAUAUCUAAGCAUACCUCUUGAGCUGUCUGUAUCCUCCUGAGUGGUGUAUAUAUUUUUUUUAAUAAACUGAAUAUGCUUCUCUGCUAAAAUCUUGGUCAAAGAUUGAAAGGAAUGUGAGUUUUAUUCAGUAUAUUUAUUUAUUGUGUCACGCCCUGACCUUAGAGAGCCUUUUAUUUCUCUAUUUUUGGUUAGGUCAGUGUGUGAUUAGGGUGGGCAUUCUAGGUUUUUGGUUUUCUAUGUUUUCUAUUUCUUUGUUAUUUUAGCCAUGCGUGGUUCCCAAUCAGAGGCAGCUGUCUAUCGUUGUCUCUGAUUGGGGAUCAUAUAUAAGUUGUGAUUUUGGGUUUUGUGGGGAGUUAUUUUCUGUUUAGCUGUUUUGUUGCCUGACAGAACUGUGCGCUUUCAUUUUUUUCUGCUUUGUUAUUUUGUUGCGGUGU